UUUGCUUUGAAUUGGGCCUUAGUGGGCUUGGGCUGCUGGAACUAUUGGGCUGCUGUAUGGGUGGCUUGCUGGAGCUGCUGGGCGUUGGGCUGGGCAGUGGCCUGUUGGGCAGUGGCCUGCUGCUGUUGGGCUGAACCUGCUGGACUGGAGCUGUUGAAAUGGGCCGAAUCUGCUGAACUGCUGCGCUAGGCCUGCUGCUGGACUGGAGUUGCACGGGUGGGCUACUGCUGGUGGGCUGCUGCUGGUGGACUGCUGCUGGACUGCCAAAAAUGGGCUGCUGUUUUUUUAUUUAUUUUAUUUAUUUCUUUUUCCUUUUCCUAUCUUUCUUUUCUUCUUUUCUUUCUUCUUUACUGUUUGGGCUGCUGUUUUCUUUCUCUUUUUACUUGCUGUUUUUUUGUUUUCUUUUUUUGCUUGCUUGUGUAGGUGCGACGGGGGUGGGAAUGCAAGGGCGCGGUGGUGAGCACGGUGGUGGCGAAGGAGCGGCCGGAUUUUUGAAGUGGUGACGGUGACGGUGGUGGUGCGGCGGUGGUGAUGGCUUUUUACUUACUGCUGUUUUUAUUUUUUUGAGUUUUCUCUGCUUCUUUUUUUUUUUGGGGUUCCUCCCCGAAAAAUCCCCUUCUUUCUCUAAUAUUCCUCUUUUUAAAUCCAUCAAUUUUUGUUUCUUUCUCUUUGUUUUCAGGUGGCAGAGGAGGAGGGAGGCCAUGCAUUGGGGUGGCAGGCGUGGCGAGCGGGGCACGCAAGAAUGCUAGUUGGGGGCAGUCUUGUCAUGCCCAGAAGGACUAAAUUGUAACGGGUGCAAAGUUUCUGGGGCAAAAAUGCAAUUUUAGGAAAAUAUGGGGCUACAAUGUAAUUUUUAGAAAGUUUAGGGGUUAAAGUGUAAUUUUGAGAAAGUUAGAGGUUGAAAUGUAAUUUAGAAAAGUUUAGGGGUUGAAAUGUAAUUUAUAUUUUUUGUUUU
This is a long non-coding RNA of Gossypium raimondii (Peruvian cotton), 955 nucleotides long. RefSeq lists it as uncharacterized. NCBI's taxonomy places the organism in Eukaryota, Viridiplantae, Streptophyta, Magnoliopsida, Malvales, Malvaceae. The transcript has 2 exons. The record is from RefSeq and is a predicted model, not a curated record.